CGUUUCUAACAUCUCUCUCUUUCUGUUUCUUCUACUACCCUUAAACCCUAAACUCCGUGUGCUGCCAUUGUUCACUGGUCCUAAAACCCUAGUUACUACAUUGCUGUUCCUUUGCUUUUAUUUCAAUAUCAGUCCAAAUUUGCAACUGAUUGUAACAUAUUUCUGCAAAAGUUGUGAACUUUAAGCUCACAAUUGAAUCAUGAAGAACCUGAAAAAGAAGAAAGCUUCAGCUCAAAACACCCAGAAGGGUAGUAAGAAGAGAUUUUCAAUUGAAAGCGACCCAUUUUUCCAUGAAGACAACGACUUGAAAAGGCGAAAGAGAUUUGGAGAUGAUGAAGAUAUAGAGAGCAGUGAUGAUUCAGAGGACAUUUAUGGGUCUGAUGAUGAAGGAGUGGAUAGGAAUGAGCGGAAGGAUGAAGAAGAGGAAGAGGAGGAGGAGACGGCAGCUGAGAAGAGAAAAAGGCUGGCGGAGACUUUUUUGCAUAGUAUGAGGGAGUCGAAGAGGAAGGAAGAGGAAGAAAGAGAGAGUGAAGAGGAAUAUGAUAGAGAGGAGAGGGAAGCAAUGAGAGACUCAUGGAUGGUAGACAUGUUGCAGAAGGAGCAGAUGGAGGGCAGUGGUCGUUCCAGAAAAGCUAUUGCUUCCAGGAUUCAAAAACCCACCGAGGGAUUUCACCUUUUAGUGAAACAUCGACAGUCCGUAACUGCUGUGACUUUAUCUGAGGAUGACUUAAAGGGAUUUUCAUCUUCUAAAGAUGGCACUAUUGUUUGCUGGGACGUGGACAGUGGAAAGACAGAAAAGUAUGCAUGGCCUACUGAUGAAGCUCUGAAGUCACAUGGUGCAAAGGACCCACAAGGUCGAGCAACAAAACAUAGUAAGAAUGUUUUAGCUUUGGCUGUCAGCUCUGAUGGACGCUAUUUGGCAAGUGGAGGCUUAGAUCGUCACGUUCAUUUGUGGGACAUCCGAACACGGCAGCAUAUUAAGGCAUUCCCUGGUCAUAAGGGACCUGUUUCAUGUUUGACAUUCAGACAAGGAUCUUCUGAACUGUUUUCGGGGUCGUUUGAUCGAUCCAUCAAGAUAUGGAAUGUGGAAGAUAGAGCUUAUGUAAAUACUUUAUUUGGUCAUCAAAGUGAAGUUCUAACCAUUGAUUCUUUGAGGAAAGAAAGGGUCUUGACAGUUGGACGAGACCGAACCAUGCACUUAUGGAAGGUUCCAGAGGAAUCUCAAUUGAUAUUUCGUGCUCCAGCAACUUCCCUUGAAUGCUGUUGUUUCAUCAAUAAUGAUGAGUUUCUAUCUGGUUCUGAUGAUGGAAGUAUUGAGCACUGGAACGUAACAAGGAAGAAGCCUGUCCACAUUGUAAAAAAUGCACAUGCUUCAUUGCAAUCAGUGGGAAUUGAACAGAGCAAUGGGGCCCUAUCAAAUGGCCACAUGGAAAAUGGCACACUUAAUCCUCAGUGUCAUUCCUCAUCAGCACUCUCUUGGGUUAGUGCGCUGACAGUCUGCAGAAAUAGUGAUCUUGCAGCAUCAGGAGCUGGCAACGGGUCCGUUCAAUUGUGGACUAUUGAAAAUGAAUCAAAAGGCAUCUCUCCAUUGUUUGAGCUCCCAGUGGCUGGAUUUAUAAAUUCCUUAGUUUUUUCAAAAUCAGGACAGUUCUUGGUUGCUGCAGUAGGGCAGGAACCUCGCCUAGGAAGGUGGGGGCGUAUUGCUGAUGUUCGAAAUGGAGUUUUUGUGCAUCCUUUGAAGCAUUCGUGAUACUGAGCUUGUUGGUCAUUGUCCACUUCGGCUCAUGCUAAAAGGAGGAAUAGCCUUCUCUGUACUUUCUUGUGAGGUGAACAUCAUCAAUUGUAUCAAGGGAAUCAUGGAAAUGUUGCCAAGAUGGCUUUUGGUAUUCAUUGGUCCCCCUGCUAGAAUGACCAAAAAAAUAAUGCAUGUAUGAAUUGAUGCCCUUACAAGAGGCCAAAGCAUAAUAAUGACCUGGUUGGUCAUAAGAAAUAAUAUCCACUUUGCAAUGAAGUUGUAUUCAAAAUAA
Molecule: RNA transcript, 2027 nt
Organism: Solanum lycopersicum (tomato)
Lineage: Eukaryota; Viridiplantae; Streptophyta; Magnoliopsida; Solanales; Solanaceae
Gene name: WD40-repeat domain-contaning protein
Source: RefSeq, marked validated